GGCCCAUUAGCUCAGUUGGUUAGAGCGUCGUGCUAAUAACGCGAAGGUCGCGGGUUCGAUCCCCUC
RNAcentral lists this transfer RNA (66 nucleotides) under Papilio machaon (common yellow swallowtail). It matches the Rfam family "tRNA", at positions 1 to 63 of the family's 71-position model. From Rfam's summary of the family: Transfer RNA (tRNA) molecules are approximately 80 nucleotides in length. Their secondary structure includes four short double-helical elements and three loops (D, anti-codon, and T loops). Lineage: Eukaryota; Metazoa; Arthropoda; Insecta; Lepidoptera; Papilionidae. The record is from Rfam by way of RNAcentral.